Molecule: long non-coding RNA, 1364 nt
Organism: Nicotiana tabacum (common tobacco)
Lineage: Eukaryota; Viridiplantae; Streptophyta; Magnoliopsida; Solanales; Solanaceae
Source: RefSeq, a predicted model, not a curated record
GACGAAAAAGAACGAAAAAAUGCUAAAAAAAGAUCAAAAGUUGUGCCGCAGAGACACAACACAAACGAGACCCCCCCGGUGUCUUCUUCUUUAACCCCCCUCAUUUUGGAACUUCUUCAGCGAAAAGAACGAAAAAACCAAACCAUACCCCACCCCCCUGACCUCAUCGUCUUCACAUGACCCUUUACCAAACUCACCCAAAAACUAUCCCCUUCUCCUCCACAACGACGAUCCUCCAUAGCAGCUCACACCAUCACACACACAUAACCGAAAAAUAGAGGAGGAUCUUUGAAAAUAGUGAAGAGAACGAGACAAGCUUAAACUAUGGAGUCAAGCAGAGGUUAUUGAAAUCGCCGCUGUCUGGAGUGGUUUCGAGUGCGAUUUCGAGUCGAGUUUCGCGAUUCCGGGUUUGAAUUGUUGCUAUUUUCUCGACUGGAUGUUGGAUUUGAAGCCUUGUAUAUGUUUGGUUGUUCGAAUAUUCAAAGUAAUCUAAUCAUCGAGGUUUGAGGAGUGGUCGAUGUCGUCGUCCCAUUUUCUUGUUACCGUAUAUUGGUUCCGGUAUAGUUUCUUGUUGUUGUCCAUUUCCCCGGUCAAAGUCAGGUUGCAGAACGUUGAUCGUUGGAUGCUGAAGCAAGUUAAAAACCUUCAAAACCUUGUAGAGAUAUCAUGAUUAAGGGAAAAUUUGGAGAACAGUAGCAAAUCAUUUUUAAAUUUGAAGAAGGAGGAAAAUGUUUUUUGUUUUGUUUUGGUUCUUUUUUGGGAUUUUCGAACUUUCUGUUUCUUAUUUAGUUCUUAGUUUAAAUAUAACAAUUAGUACUAUGAGAUUUUAAAAUAAAAAAAAACACAAAAAAAACACAUUGGGUUUCUUCUGUUAAAUUUGAUUUCGACGAUGGAGUUGGUUUGAAAUAUUUGAUUCAGAGUUCCGUUUGAAGGUUGAAUCUGUGGAUGAAGAUAUUUCUGCUUCAUCAUUUGGUUCUGAUUUUUGGUUAUUCGAGUAUGGGAACGGAGUUUAGCCGAGGUUGAUUCGAGUUCAUUGCCGGUUUUAGAUUUUUGGUGCCGAUUUGGGUUCCCGUCUGCGAUUCGUUACAUCUCGAGUUCAAAGUAGUGAAACAAUCAAUUUCCCGGCUAUAUUGAGUUUUCUUGUACAGGUGUGGAUUUACUUACUGGAGUUUGGGCAUGACAGAUACCCCAUUAUCAUUGCAUUCAGAAAUUGCUCGAGGAGUCAUUUUAUAUUUUUGAGUCAAUUGUUCAUGUUUUACUUUCUAGUCAUGUAUAGUAGUAUUCGGUCUUUUCGGUGAUGUUAGAGUUUGUAAUAGUCUAGUUAAGUUUGCCUAGUCUUUUGUUAUUGUAUUAUUUAUUUGGUA